RNA transcript from Lycium ferocissimum, 1054 nucleotides. It is a transcript of the gene named 25.3 kDa vesicle transport protein SEC22-1, with no coding region annotated. Lineage: Eukaryota; Viridiplantae; Streptophyta; Magnoliopsida; Solanales; Solanaceae. The record is from RefSeq and is a predicted model, not a curated record. The transcript is spliced from 7 exons.
GUUUAUGUUUAUUGAAUAGUUGUGUGCCUGGCUAAGGAAGAUGGUGAAGUUGACUAUGAUUGCUCGUGUAACUGAUGGGCUUCCAUUAGCUGAGGGGCUGGAUGAUAGCCGUGAUGUUCCAGAUGCAGAUUUCUACAAACAGCAAGUCAAGUCCUUAUUCAAGAACCUCUCUAUGGGCCAUAAUGAGGCAUCAAGGAUGUCCGUUGAAACUGGACCUUACAUUUUCCAUUAUAUAAUUGAAGGACACGUUUGUUAUCUGACUAUGUGUGAUCGCUCUUAUCCAAAGAAACUUGCCUUUCAGUACCUGGAAGACUUAAAAAAUGAGUUUGAGCGUGUCAAUGGGAAUCAAAUUGAAACUGCUGCUAGACCAUAUGCUUUUAUCAAAUUUGAUACAUUCAUACAGAAGACGAAGAAACUGUACCAGGAUACCAGAACUCAACGCAAUGUUGCAAAGUUGAAUGAUGAACUUUAUGAAGUUCAUCAGAUAAUGACUCGAAAUGUACAAGAAGUUCUUGGUGUUGGUGAAAAAUUGGACCAGGUCAGUCAGAUGUCCAGCCGCUUGACAUCAGAAUCCCGCAUAUAUGCUGAUAAAGCGAAAGAUUUAAAUCGUCAGAGAAAACUUGGAUAGUAUAGGCAUGGAAAGGUGUGAUACAUAAUCAUUGAACACAUUCAAUUCUUGCCAGUUGCAUUACUUUCACUAGGAUUAGUUGUUGGCAGGACCACUUGUGUUUAGGCUAGGACAAAUCAAUAUGAUUGCAAAGACUCACUCCUUGUUCUUAAACCCAGACAGGGAUGAAAAUAAGCAACCGCUCUGAUACGGAAAUGGGCUCCUGUUGCUAUUGUCAUUGGAGUUGUUAGUCUCCUCUUCUGGGCCAAAAAUAAGAUUUGGUGAUGGUGCCAUCAAAUGUACAGCUCAGCAAAGAUGUUGGUCCAGUGGUGUUCGUUUUCCUUGGACGAUUUGCGACUUGAGCCAUGUCAGUUUGAUAACAUAAAACAGAGGACGUGAACCACGAUGACCCAAUGUCACUACAUGAGAAAUGAUAUUAAUAUGAAU